GACGAACGCUGGCGGCGUGCUUAACACAUGCAAGUCGAACGGAAAGGCCCUGCUUUUGUGGGGUGCUCGAGUGGCGAACGGGUGAGUAACACGUGAGUAACCUGCCCUUGACUUUGGGAUAACUUCAGGAAACUGGGUCUAAUAUCGGAUAGGAGCUCCUGCUGCAUGGUGGGGGUUGGAAAGUUCCGGCGGUGCGGGAUGGAGUCGCGGCUUAUCAGCUUGUUGGUGGGGUAGUGGCUUACCAAGGCUUUGACGGGUAGCCGGCAUGGGAAGUGGACCGGCCCCCAUAGGCCUGCGGUACGGACCAGACUGCUACGGGAGGCAAAAGUGGGGAGUAUUGCACAGUGGGGCGGAGCCUGAUGCAGCGACGCCGCGUUCGGGAUGACGGCCUUCGGGUUGUGAACCGCUUUCGCCUGUGACGGGGCGUGCGUGACGGUAAUGUAUAAAGAAGCACCGGCUAACUACGUG
Molecule: ribosomal RNA, 468 nt
Filed under: uncultured bacterium
Lineage: Bacteria
Description: partial 16S ribosomal RNA
Rfam family: Bacterial small subunit ribosomal RNA
Source: RNAcentral